RNAcentral lists this ribosomal RNA (383 nucleotides) under uncultured Zoogloea sp. RNAcentral describes it as "bacterial SSU rRNA". It matches the Rfam family "Bacterial small subunit ribosomal RNA", at positions 991 to 1382 of the family's 1533-position model. Lineage: Bacteria; Pseudomonadati; Pseudomonadota; Betaproteobacteria; Rhodocyclales; Zoogloeaceae. The record is from RNAcentral.
CUUAAGGCCCUAGAGAUAGGAGAUAAUAAACACACACAGGUGGUGGCAUGGUUGUCGUCAGCUCGUGUCGUGAGAUGUUGGGUUAAGUCCCGCAACGAGCGCAACCCUUGUCUUUAGUUACCAUCAUUCAGUUGGGGACUCUAGAGAGACUGCCGGUGAUAAACCGGAGGAAGGUGGGGAUGACGUCAAAUCAUCAUGCCCCUUAUGGGUAGGGCUUCACACGUCAUACAAUGGUCGGUACAGAGGGUUGCCAAGCCGCGAGGCGGAGCCAAUCCCACAAAGCCGAUCGUAGUCCGGAUUGUUCUCUGCAACUCGAGAGCAUGAAGUCGGAAUCGCUAGUAAUCGCAGGUCAGCAUACUGCGGUGAAUACGUUCCCGGGUCUU